Molecule: ribosomal RNA, 253 nt
Filed under: uncultured bacterium
Lineage: Bacteria
Description: partial 16S ribosomal RNA
Rfam family: Bacterial small subunit ribosomal RNA
Source: RNAcentral
UACGUAGGGGGCAAGCGUUGUCCGGAAUCAUUGGGCGUAAAGCGCGCGUAGGCGGCCAGAUAAGUCCGGUGUGAAAGUCACAGGCUCAACCUGUGAAUGCCGCUGGAAACUGUCUGGCUUGAGUCCGGAAGGGGCGAGUGGAAUUCCUGGUGUAGCGGUGAAAUGCGCAGAUAUCAGGAGGAACACCAAUGGCGAAGGCAGCUCGCUGGAACGGUACCGACGCUGAGGCGCGAAAGCGUGGGGAGCGAACAGG